AACGCAGCGAAGGGCGAUAAGUAAUGUGAAUUGCAGAAUUCAGUGAAUCAUCGAAUCUUUGAACGCACCUUGCGCUCUCUGGUAUUCCGGAGAGCACGUCUGUUCGAGUGUCAUGAAACUCUCAAACAAAGAUGGCUUUGUUGCCGUCUUUGUUUGGAUUUGGACCUUGCUGUGUCAAUGCGGCUGGUCUUAAAUAUAUUAGCUGGUCCUCACGAAUGGUUUGGUUCUACUCAGCGUGAUAAUUAUCUAACGUUGAGGACGGUCUUAGGACUGGCCAGAGCUAUCUUUGGAUUGCUUCUAAUCGUCCUUAGGGACAAAUUAUUCAAUAUCUGACCUCGAAUCAGGUGGGACUACCCGCUGAACUUAA
This 367-nucleotide ribosomal RNA is filed under the name uncultured fungus. Its description in RNAcentral is "eukaryotic LSU rRNA". The stretch from base 1 to 113 matches the Rfam family "5.8S ribosomal RNA", at positions 42 to 154 of the family's 154-position model. The record is from RNAcentral. Lineage: Eukaryota; Fungi.